AUACUUAUAAGUUAUAACUGGAGUUAAGAAUCAUCAAUCUAACCUGUUAGACAGUUAGAGAGAUCUCAAGUUGCUAGUUUGACCAAAAACACCUAGUCUUUUAAUUUUGCUACCAAGGACUUGUUAGAUAAUACCUCACAUGUUACUAAAUAUGAACCACAGCUAUUCUCGCAUGCAUGGUUGCACAACUAUCUCAUAUUGCUAAUUUUCCCAAAUCACCAUGUGUACUAUUUUUACUUCAAGUGAGCCUUCCACCUAGACAGUUCCACCAGGUUCGUCGAUUGCUAUCAGUUUUCUAUUUGAUUAUCUUCAACAUGCCAUUCUUCUUCUCUUGACUAUCACAAGCUUGUUUGGAAGAGUUGUUACUUCAUCCCCAUCGCCUCUUGACUUAAGUGCAACUUGACAAGAUCCAUCAUAUAUGCUUAAAUUAUUUUGAUAACAUCUCUAAGAAUUUUCCGGCUUAUGAGGAAAACCAUCCAUGCCGAGGAUAGAACAAAACUCAUACAUGUGAAAUUUGAGGGAAAUGAUUAUUAUUUUGGGUUUUUAAGUUAUUGUAUGUGACACAAAGAUCUUUCUUACAUUAUGUUAAAAUAACUUAAAUAUUAUGUGUAUAGUUCUUAAAGUAAUUUAUUUUAGUUUGAUGUACAACAAUUUUCUCCUAACUCAUAAAUUCUUAUGUAAUUUGUACUGACAGAUCCAGUUGUCCCGAUCUUGUUCAGUGGCUUCCAGUAACAUAUUAAAUUUACUGACUGACGCAACAUGUGCUCGGAUGAGUUGUCGUAUUAAACCAAACCAACUAUUCAUUCCCUUCUUAUAAAAGGAAGAUAGUGUGAAUACUUCUACAAAUUGAUCAUACAGAGAUUCCAAAAGAACCAAGUGUGAGUUUUAAGAUUUAUGUGAUCAUACUGACAAAAGAUAGAUGCGAAUUUUUAGAUGUGAGAGGCAUGGGGAACAUAGUGAUCACUACACUAAAAUCUAUUUUCCGGUUUUGCGUGCUCAUUUGCUAAAUAUGUUUGUAAGUCGGCAUGCAUCACACUGCAAAGGCACAUAGCAAUGUCUUCGUUGUGUUAAGUUUAGACUUUAACCAUCGUGUGUAGACGGAAUGCUGCGCUGAAGAGUAGUGUGCAAUGACCUAUAAACCACCGCCUCGCCUCUGGGUUUUUUCUUUUUUUGAGAGAGCCUCGCCUCUGGGUGCUAGUCGAUCGUGGUCAACGAAGAAGGUAGGCAGUGUGGGCUGGAUGGGACAUUGACUAGGUUAAGUGGACCGACCCCUUCUUCCCCUCAACUUACUUUCCUUGUGAUGAUUCUCAGUUUAUGUAUCUAAAAAAGGGUCACUCUCUCCAUGUAACGUGCAUACUGAAUAAUUGUCCUUAUUUUGCACACUGGGUUACUAUUCCUGGUGGAAUCAAUUUUUGUGCAGGUUAUUUUCCAUGAUGGCUUAUUUCACAGUGGCCUUCGUUUCUUUAGUUUAUGCGAUUUUCUUGUCUUGGUUGGUGUCUUCUCCUUUUCUCUUUACUGGCAUGUUCAGCGGCAACAGUUGAUUUAGUCAUUUCCAUUCAUUAUGCUAACAGUGCAUCGAAGCAGAGUGACAAGUGACGAUGGAACUUGGAACCCAAGUCUUAAUCCAUUGGAUCAGCAUUCAAAUCAUGCAUCACGGCCAUCUUUUACAAUAGCUACAGAAAUAAAGUCCUAUGGAAAAGGCACAAAUACUCAAGGAAAAGCAUUCGUGUUAUGCAAUAACUUAGCAGAGAAUCAUGCCUUAGAAGAAUAUAUGAAAAUAAAUACACUAGGAACACAUCAAUGUGAAAUUUGGAGGGGGAUAUAAUUAUUUGUGGUUUUGAGCUUAGAGGCUUCUUUUACAAUAAGUUACUGCAAGUUUUCCGCUGGAGGCGUGGAUCCUAUUGGACGGUACCCUAACUCAGCUCACUUACAUAAAACUGCUUCCAUCAACUGUGCCUGCACUGCCACGGGUUCUGGAGCUUGUAUUGAGAACAAGCGAGAGAAUGGAAACCAAUGUCGCAUCGGGCAGACUUGAAAGAGAUUCUCCAGGUUUUAUUAGAGCAGACCAUACGAGCAAAUCCCAAUCCCAAAAGUUUAAAUAUGAAUACAAAGUGCAGAAAGAUAAACCGGGAUGAUGUGUCAUGUCAGGAUUAGAAAGAUCAAGCAUUCCCGAGUAUAUCUCAGGGCAGGCAUCUGGAAAUCUACAUCACAUAAUUCACAUGAUACCGAACAAGUGGGAUUAAGAACAAUCAAUCUGACCGGUUAGAGUGAUCUAAAAUUGCUAAGUUGACCAAAAACACGUAUUUUUCUUUCUAAUUUUGCGGCCUAGGACAGUUAAGAUAACACCUAACAGGUGAACCAGCUAUCUCAAGUUGCUAGUUUGCCCAAAAUCACCAGGUCUACUAUUUUCAUGUCAAGCGGGUUUUCCACCCGGACAAUCCCAUCAGACCCGUCGACUCCUACCAGUCUUCCUAUAACUCCACGCAUGCUGCCAUUCAUUAUCUUGACCCUGUCGCUCUUCUUCGGCCUGAUGAUCUCGAGCUCGUCUGGAAGAGCUGUUACUUCAUCCCCACUCCCUGAUGGCCCAAGUGCGACACGGCAAGAUCCAUCCUGCAAGUUCAGACUCCCGGAGAUGUUAACACCGCAAAAAAAAAAAAACAGCACCAAAGAAACAUGUGGAGAAACAACUUCUGCAUGCACUUGUAACAACCAUAAAUGAACAUGACAUACCAGGAGUACUUCCUUCACCACACCAUUGGUGGAACCAUCUCCUCUGGACACAUUGACGCAAACAUCUGGCAAGAGCCAAUUACUGCCGCCCUCAUCCCCUGAAAGCAUUUUGGCAAAAGGUAUUCACAGAUGUGCACACAAAGUGCUGGUUUCAAUCCCAUCCCGGUUGUAGAUGAAAGGGCAAGGGCAAACCUAUCAUUGGAGACAUUGCACCCAUUCCAGCAUUCCCUGGGGUCAUUAGCUGGCCACCAGGGGUUCCAGGCAAAUAAGAGGCAGGAAUUGGGGUCAUUGGUUGAGCACUAGGUGUUGGAGCGUUGAAUGGAGCAUCACCAAAGCCAGUUCCAGAGGUACUUUCCCACCCUGAUCCAGGAGUGGGGGCAUCAAAUGGCCUAGCUACUGGAGUUCCUGGCUGUGUGUAGAAACAGCAAUACAUUUCGGUAGCCAACACAAGGAUAAACAAUUUUCAAAGUUAACAAGAAGCACAUGGAACCUGGUAAGCUGGACUGCUCCCCCAAGCGCCCCAAGUGCCACGAUUUCCAUCUUCCUGGUUAUCCCUGAUCAUAUAAUUAGAACACAAUCAGCAACCAAACAGACCAUCAAGAUUAACUCCAGUAAAGUUUCAACACUCCACUUCGCAACAGACAAGGUUGAAAUAGUUUCACUAUGGGGCAGGAUAAACAAAACAUCUGAAGCUGCUUUAUUCUAAAUUUCAGGAUUUCAAUUCUGCAAGCCCAAGUAACCAAUUUGUUCUCCAAAGAAGUAUACCAACCUCGGUGGACUCAUUGGUGCCCAGGCUUGAUUAUGCAUAGGAGUUUGCGAUCCAUCACAAAUUGGUGUCGCUGCGCAAAUUCAAUUAACUUGUUACCAUGGAAAAGGGGAAUAAGAAACAGUACAUGGUACAAUGAAAUGAAUGGCACCGAAAUAGGCAAUAUGAUAGGCAUCUGAACAGGAGAGGGCGAAAAUGAACAAAUAGCACCAAAAUGAUUUGCAGAUCAAAUGGGUGAAUGACGCAAGAGAGCCAAAGCGGCAAUAUAAUGACUAUUCAACUUCAAGUACAGAGAACACAAGAAUUAUUUUGAUGUAGGUGCAACUAUAGUAAUUCCCUCCUUUUCUAAAUGUAUGGCAUUUCAAAUUCACGGAAAUUAGAAGUCACUGUAGAUAGUGUGUAAUACAAUACUAUAAUAAAACGUCUUAGCAACAUAUGUGAUAGAAAUUAGUAGUCAAAGUUGCAUGUUGUUGAAUGCUCACUACACCUAUGUCCAGAACGGUCGUAAGUGCAUCUUGUACAAAGAAAAAGUGAUCUAGGUAAUCUCAAAUUGAACCAUAACAAAGAAUGUAAGCAAGCACACCUCCAGGUUCUCGCAUUGGAGUUUGAAUAGGAUACAAUGGCGUUCGAGAUGGGUGCAUAGGUGUUUCACUGCCCAAUGAAUAACGAGAUUCACUGCCAAUACAACUGGUCAGCAAAUGAGAAAAUGGUACCAAACAGCUUGUUAAAUAUGGUUGAUCAAAAAGAAAUUUACCGGAAUGGUGUCCCAACAUUCGCUGUGUCAGCAAUAUCCUCUCUCUUAACUAUAUGUUUGCAGCAAGGUUAGUCGUCAACAGUAGACAGGCAACAACAAUUGUGACAAAAAUUAUUCACCUGUGACAAUCUUCAUAAGUGAAUCAAGCUCCACACGCACGAGUGCACCAUUCACUUCUUUAACACGGCCACGAUAUCCUUUGUAGGGACCAGAUUUAAUUUUGAUGCAUCUACUCACCAAGGCAUCAUGCCCUCUGCCACCACGACCACCUCCUCCAAACCUUCCACCAGCUGUUUUAGAUAGGAGGGGAGUGAAUUAUUACAUCAGCAUAAAGUAGUGUAAGAAAUAGACUUCGCACAAGAUGCAGCUGACUAAAACUAAUGGCAGAGAUAAGGAGCAUCCAAACUAUCAAUAUUCGUACAAUUCAUGUAAGGUCCUCUCGGCGGAAGCCCUCCAGGAGAUUGCAAGAUCCUUGCUGGAGAUCUAAAAGCACCAAGCCGUGGAUCUGCUGUAUCAACACCCUGAAAAAACAAGUAAACUGAAGAUAUGAUGGCAUGUUCUAGGUACCAAUAAAAUUUAAUUGAGAUAAUCAAAGCACAGACCAUCCUGCUGCUGUUGACAACCGAUCCCCCAACAAGGACACAAGAUUGUGCUUUUGCACAGAUAAAGCCUGAAUGUUCAAGGUGGUGGCGGUCAUGUAUAAAACAUAUCCCUUUGUGUAUAUGUUCCACAGGUCCUUGCUUUCCCUAAUGUGAACAGAAAAAUAAAUGUUUGUUAGCCUGUGAUAAGAAGAUUAAAUUGAGACAACAGAAUAAAUAGACAUUGUGAGAGAAAUAAUCAAAACACGAGAUAACAGGCAAAAUGUACACACCUUGCAUGGCCCCUCAAUGACCCUGACAAUAUCCUUAGUGGACACCGUGUUAUUCCUGCUAUCUUUUGCAGAUGUGCGCCGAUCGAUUUUGUAUUUUAUUUCUCUCAGUUUCACAAGCACCACUUCAGGUUUAUCAGGCACUCCUUUGAGAACCUAAUUAUACAAAAGGGUCAAUACAUAUAACUAUACGUACAAGACAAUCAGACAGAUGAAUAUUUAGACAGUUCUGCUUGCCUGAAAUGCUUCGCUUUCCACCCUUACAAUCACACCAAAUGAUAAAUUGCUGAAAAGGGAAGAAAUGGUAUAAGUUGUUUCGUAGCCGUUAGACAUGAUGGGUAGCAACCUCACUAAAAAUUCUGGGCUUACUCAAGAAGGACAAGAUCAUGCAAUUCAUAAUCACCAAUUCUGGUAAGCCCCGUCGUGACCUCAGAACUCUCCACAACAUGAUCUGCAAACACACGGAUCUGCAGUCACAAAAAAGAGUUAAACAUACUACAAAAUAUGUUUAAACAAAGCAAUUUCCAAUAGAUGCACAGGUGUACCAACAAUUGCUCACAUGUUCUUUGCUUGUGUCAGAUAAAAUAGUCAAGACAUGUCCUUCCACUUUAACUACCAUGCCUGUCACACCUUCUUGAACACCAAAAACCACUUUUACAUGGUCCCCGGGAUUGAAAUAUUUGCAGAGAUCUUUCUCACUGAAGGCAAGUGUUUUCUGCAUGGUACAAAGAGAUGUUUAAAUUUUCUAGUCCAGUUGAUAGUAGUAUAAUAAAUUCACUACAAGUAAUUACCGGAAGAUCAGAUUGUGUCGGUGUUGGUCGGAUGUGAACAAUAGAAUCCUCUACUUUCUCCACACAGCCCCUUAUGUCCUUGAGAUCACCUUUAACAACAACUACAGCAUCGCUUUUCAUAAAAUGUCCCUUCUUCCUGCUGAGUGUGGACAAUCUAGCCACAUCUUCAUUCACGUCAUCACCAACUCUCCCGAAUUUCUCCAAUUCAUCAAGUGAUGGCAUAACAUUCUGUGUGCUGAUUGAUUUUAUCGAGACUAUUUUGCGCAAGAAACCAUCUUCAAAUUUUAAAGCGCCAACCAUCUCAAAGUAUUCCCCAGAAUCUCUAUCUCUCCUCCGUUCUACAGGAAUGUUCAUCUCCCUGUGUUCAUUUAAGUUAGAAAAAAGAGGAGACAAGAUACAUAAAUAAAUAAAACUGAACUAUCAUUUGAUAGCGAAAGGAUGAAAAGCAUUAAGCACCUCGCCUCGUCGGUACUAAAUAACCUUGGCGGUGGAAUAAACGACUUCUUCUUUGCAACCUUAAGACCUUUCUGACAAUACAAAAGUCAUAUCAUGCUAAGUCAUCCAGCAAGCAAGCACAAUACGAAGUAUAAACACGCAUUCUACCAAGAAGAUAGAUUGAUAAUUAAGAAGUCCUUCAAUAAGUUAAAAUCUACUAAUUCCAUUUUUGGACACAGCAGUGCAUGGAACUUGUGAAUCAUAUGGGAAAGAGAACCCAAACUUGAAGUACUAUGUUCACAGCGGAUGCAAGACGAUAUAUAAAACGGCAUGUCAAUGAGCUCAACCCACUGAUAGAAGUGUAUGUUACGUUGAAAGGUGACAGGUAGAAAAUCACGAUGAAUGGCAACUAGCAUAACUUACCAAUUUAUCUGUCAAAGCUUGUAAAUCUAAUCUAGGAAUGACCUUCACAGUAACCUUUUGGCGCACAUCAUCAACUUCGACAACCUGGGGGUAAUCAAAAUAAAUAACUGGGCAAUUGACAAAUAUAUACUAGCAACAGCCAGGGAAACAAUGAUGACCAUACCUUAGCAAGAUCCCCUUUAUAUAUACCAAGCUUCAACCUGACCCAUGUAUCUAUUGAAAGAUCAGCAGACUUACUCGUGACAGAGAGAACAUCAGUCAUUUCUUUUGUAGGAACCAGAAGUAUUUUUGCUGAAGAAAAGAUGUUCCGCAGACCUUUGCAAGCCUGCAAUGAAGUUUAGUUAACAUCCCUUAUCAAGAAGACUAGAAUGUCAAUUUACGCACUGGUUACCUCCUUGACAUGGGCUUCUUUCUCUGCUUCAACAUAAAUGUAAUUCUUUAGGUGUUCCAAUGCAACGACGGACUUAAUCUGGAGAUCUUGCCUAUCAAUGAACUUUUGCAUUAGACAAAGGGCUGUCUCUCGCUCAUGUCCAAUCUGACGUCAUAAUUAGAAGAACAAUGAGAUUCAAAUGGUACAAUGAACAAAUAGCAGAGCUGUGGCAAGAGCUUAAUUUUCCUAGAACUUGCAACCUACCGCACAUUUCACCAUCCAGAGCUUUGGAUCAUUCACUGAUGGCAGGAGAGCUUGCUGUUCAACCUCGGUUAGACCCUCUUCAUCAAAAUCAGAGUGUGAUUGCGUUCUAUAUUUCCAUUUUAACAUCUCUUCCAAGUUCUCCAUAUCAUCUGCAUCAUCCAUUGGAUUUGGAUUGAAAUGACGUCUAGAACCCCUUUGCACAUCCUCGUCAGGAUUAUCAGCCCGAGCAUCAUCAUCAAUAAAACCUGCCGAAAAGCAAAGGAGUGUAAGUCACGCAUUAUCACAAAUAGUCUUGCUUUUGCAUACUACACAACUCAACCCACAGAUAGGCAAGCACAGAAAUUUUUUAAUUCGAAAGGGAAAGUAAAAAUGUUAUACUUGAAUGGCAGAAAUAAACAUCCAUGUGAACAUAACUCAGGACCAAUGGCAAGAGUACAUCCAUAAAGAAACUGCAGUUGAUGAUCGACUAAACAUCAAAUUCCACACCAUCUAAUCUUAAGAAACAUAAUGGUUACAUUGAGCUUGAAGUAACAAGACUAUAUCAAAAAAAUUACAUAAAAGUGCCAUCUGGGCAUCGAAACCAAAACUCUUGAUCAUAUAAAGGUCCCUAGUAAUUUCUGGAGGAUAUGAUUCUGUCCAUCAUCAUGACUACAAUGCUGGUUUGGAAAGAGCCAGACAGUUGAUUGUAACGACAAUUUCCCAGGUAUAUACUGGGUAGGUCUAGCCAUAACCCAUAAGUGGCAGGAAGUAAUAAGUUUUAAUGGAACAUGGACUUUGGUCCUUCACUCCACACGACCUCCCAUUUAUGGCCAAAUUACGAAAUUAACACAGUUCGCACUAAAUUGCACUGAUGGUUCACAACAGGAAAAUAAGAAGCAUUGCAUAAAACAUUGCCGCUGAUGGUUCACAUAUGGUUAUCAAGCCUAGCCAACACUGAAGCAACAAUAGAAUGUAAUUCAAGCCGGAUUGACCAACAAACAACCCAACUAAGCACCCUCAGCAUUUCUAACAGGGGCAACGAGUCCCAAAUGCAGGCAGGGAACUAGCAACGGCGAUCACAGAAAUCCUCGAUAGUGUAGAAAUGCUGCGGAACCAACGACUGGGAAGCAAAAAUCCUACACGAAAUCGUCACUAACCCCGGCGAAUUUGGAUACGGGAAACUAAACAUGAUAACGAUUCUGCUACCCCGGGUCCAGGCGCCGGCGUACGGCCGAUAGGGCAAGCGAGCACUCACCUUCCUCGUACCCGUCUUCCUCCUCCUCCUCGCCGUCGUCGUCGUCGACCUGCGCCAUGUCGUCGAUCAGGAUCGACCGCUUCCUCUUGCUGGGCCGGCGGCCGCGGCCGCGGCCGCCCUCCUCGUAGUCGUCGUCCUCGUCGUCGUCAUCCUCUUCCUCCUCCUCCUCCUCGUCGUCGUCCUCGCUGGCCGCGUCGUCGAUGAAGCUCGCGACGCCCGAGCCCUUCCCCCCGCCGCCGCGCAACCGCUUUUCGCCCCUCUCCUCCUCCACCUCCGACUCGUCGGCCUCCUCCUCCUCCUCUACCUCCUCGAACUCCUCCUCCUCCUCGCGGCCGCGGCGCGACAUUGCGGCGGCUAGGGUUUCGAGCGAGCCCUCCUCGCGGCUCGAGACGCGCUGCGGCUGGGAGGGUGGCCCCGCGUGGCAGGGCGGAACCCUCGAGAGGCGAUUGAGGCCUCGGCGGGGCUGGGGCUGGGGUGGGUGGGUGCGAGCAAGCGAGAGCGGGGAGCGCUUUCGAUUGCCGGCAAGGCGAGAGGGUAUUUAGCGGCGAAACCGACUUCUAGCGAGGAGGAACGCUGAGUUAAUUUUGGUUGGGUGGGCCGGGCAGGGCCGUACAUCGGCCGUGCGCGCGUAGGAAUUGGCUGCUUUAAUUCGGCCGGGCUCCUGCAAUUUAUUCGGGCACCCUAUGUCUCGCUUAUAGCGAGACCUACGGGACUUACAGCUUGAGAUGGGCCGGCCCAUGUGCGCUGAAGGAGGGUUUUUUCCGUCUUGAUAUAAGUGAGAUAUAGUCCCCGUGCAAUUUAUUCUGCUUCCGGAUCAUUCCUCAAACAGCCAUUAGCUUGAGUGCUCCUGGCCCGUCCCCCAGACGGCCCACCUCACCCCGAUAUGUACAUCUCGGCCAACCCUCUUUUUACAGUUGCUAUCUCGGCCUACCUUUUUCUAGAGCUCAGCAUCUUGGUACAUAUGUCAUGUGGGGAUGAUGGAUAUGUCGUUCCGUUGCAAAAAGAAAAAGAAAAAAAUGUUGUCACUCCGGGAUUUUUGUGUGCACUGAGCAGCGACACCUUCUUUUGGAAUACUAUCUACCGCCUCCAUCCAAUAACUAGAUCGGGAGCGCGCCUUGGCGCGAGGGUGCCGGUCCUAACGUUUUGAUGAAGCAAAUAGUGCUAAGUUAGUAGGAAUCUGGGUUUACCAUAUGAAUUCAAACAUGGUAUAACAAAAUAAAGUGAAAAGAAACAUUCAUUUGUGAGAAGAAAGACAUAAUGGAGUUCAAUAUCGGCAUGGGAUUAUAAGGCAACAUCGAGUUGAGCAUAUUCAUAAGACCAUAAAAGAUAACUACUCGUCAUUAAGUACGAUACCAAAAGAUUAGUAUGGGAGAGGAAGUAAUAAAAGUAGGAACAUAACGCAGAACCCUCUCCUCCACCUCCGACUCGUCGGCCUCCUCCUCCUCCUCGCUGCCGCGGCGAGACAUUGCGGCGGCUAGGGUUUCGAGCGAGCCCUCCCCGGGGCUCGAGAUGCUCUGUGGCUGGGAGGGUGGCCCCGCAUGGUAGGGAGGAACCCUCGAGAGUCAACGCGAGAGCCGAUUGAGGCUUCGGCGGGGCGGGGGUUGGGGUGGGUGGUGCGAGCAAGCGAGAGCCGGGAGCGUUUUCCGUUGCCGGUAAGGCGAUAGGGUAUUUGGAAAUUCCUAUUUGCCGCAUUUUGCGGCAAACAAUCAACCAAUCGCACACCUGCUGACACCAGAUCGAUAGAAUGGGCAGGCCCAGCUGAGGGUGUGAGCAGAUGGUUUUGUGAACUUUCUGGAAGGUUCCUGACUAGUUUUGGGAACCUUCUAGAAGGUUCCUAAACCGUUUUUUCUUUCUUUUUGCGUUUUCACAAUUUUGUUUUUAUUUCUCGUUAUUUCCGUUUUUAUCUAUUUAUUUAUCUUUUCUUUUCUUUUUCUCUUUUUCACUUUUCUUUACUGUAUCUUCUUUCUUUUCUUUUCUGAAAAUGUUCAAAAUAUUAAAUAAUUGUUCAAUUUUUAUAAACAAUAUUCAAAAGUUUCCAAAUUUGUUCAUGUUUUUAAAAAUCAUUCGUGUUUUCGUGAAAAAUGUUUGGAAUUUCUAAAUUUGUUCAAGUUUUCAAACAUGGUUCUGAGUUGCAAAUUUUGUUCAAGUCUUCAAACAUUGUUCUUAUUUUCAGAAAACAUUCAGAAUUUCCAAAAUUGUUCAGGUUUUCCAAAAAUGUGCUGAGUUUCAAAAUUUUAUUUAUGUUUUCAAAAAUUGUUCACUAUGUCAAAAUAUGCUUGGAAUAUCAAAAUUUGUUUAGGUUUUUCAAACAAUGUUCUGAUUUUCAAAUUAUUGUUCACGUUUUCAAAAAUUGUGCACAAUUUCAAAUGUCUGGAGUUUAAAAUUUUGUUCAUAUUUUCAAAAUUUGUUCAUCUUUUCCAAAAUAGUUUGAAAUGUUCAUGUUUGUUCUCAUUUUAAAAACUGAAAUUCAAAAUUUGUUCCAAUUUUUCAAAGAUUGUUCGUGUUUAAAAAAAAUAUUUUUGAAAAAUUGUUCAGAGAUUCAAAAGAUGUUCGCGUACUAGAAAAUGUUCAUAGAUUUCCAAAAUGUUCAUUUUUUCAAAUUUUGUUUGAAAUUUUGAAAAAAUGUGUCCAUUUUAAAAAAUUGUUCACAUAUUAGAGAAGUGUUCGAGAUUUGAAAAUUUCUUCAUGUUCUUUUUAGAAAUGGAAUGAAAAUGUUUAGAAUUCCAAAUUUUAUUUUCUUUUUCAAAACAAUAUUUGACAUUUAUUUAUUUAUUAAAAUCACGAAAUGAUCAAACAUUUUUGUAAAGAUUGUUUUAAAUGAGCCGCUUCGGUGAGAUCUUAAAAUGCUCGUGCUCUUUGUAUAUCAGAAACAACAAUCAGCUCCAGUGGCUAGUAGCACGCGUUGACGACUCACAUGCCGCGAGUUCGAUCCCUGUCGACUACUCGCUAAUUUCAUUUUUUGGCUUGGCUCUCCUUCGUUUCCUUUUAGUGGGCCGGCCCAGACACGGGGUCCUCUAUGCGUCUGCUCACUGUUGGACGCAAAGAGCGUCCAAUAGAAGCUCCUAUCAUGCUACAUGUGGCGAAACUGACUUAUAUCGAGGAGGAACGCUGAGUUAAUUUUUAUUGGGUGGGCCGGGCCGUACAUCGGCCGUGCACGCGUACGUUGUCUGAUUAAUUUGGUCAGGCUCGUACAAUUUAUUCGGGCGCCCUAUGUCUCGCUUAGAGCGACACCUACGGAACCCUUGCAUCAAGGCAGCUCGAGAUGGCCCAGCCCAGGUGUGCUGGAGUCCACAUCCUCGGUUUUUUUCAUCUUUUGUUUUAUUUUAUUACAAAUAUAUAUUUGACAUAAUGUUUUGAAAAGUGGUAAAUGUGAAUAUAAAAAAUGGCGAACAUGUACACGAAAAUGUAUACAAAAAAUAUGCUAUUUGUGAAAAAAAAUGUCCAUGUAUUUAAAAGAAUGUUAAUCAAGCUUUUGAGGAGGUGUCGUGUUGUAAUUUUCCUAACCUAGCAGGCGCCACGAGCCACAUGACUAGGGAGGCGAUCUUCUUCCACUGAUCUCAGUCGGCCACGGCGCUAACCCCUCUCCCUCUGGCUGCUGCUCCAGCGGCAGGAGGGAGGGAGACCCCGUUCCUUCGUUUUGCAAUUAGGGUUUGGAUUUGUAGGUCGUGGUGCGUCGUUGGGGUGGUGGGAGCAGCGCCCAAACGAAUAAAUAUGCCUUAGCUCCACUCCCACAUAGCGAUGCCCUUCAUGGCGGUGUCUCGGAGUUGAUGGCAUCGUGUGUUUACCAAUCCUUCAGAUCAGCAGCGUUAGGGUUCCCAUAUGGUGUCUACAUGGAGGCGAUGGUGAAUCUAUCGGGAAAUAUGCCAUAGAGGCAAUAAUAAAAUGAUUAUUAUUAUAUCUCCUUGUUCAUGAUAAUUGUCUAUUGUUCAUGCUAUAAUUGUGUUAUCCGGAAAUCGCAAUACAUGUGUGAAUAUAUAGACCACAACACGUCCCUAGUGAGCCUCUAGUUGACUAGCUCGUUGAUCAACAGAUAGUCAUGGUUUCCUGACUAUGGACAUUGGAUGUCAUUGAUAACGGGAUCACAUCAUUAGGAGAAUGAUGUGAUGGACAAGACCCAAUCCUAAGCGUAUCACAAGAUCGUGUAGUUCGUUUUGCUAGAGCUUUUCUAAAUGUCAAGUAUCAUUUUCUUAGACCAUGAGAUUGUGCAACUCCCAGAUAACGUAGGAGUGCUUUGGGUGUGCCAAACAUCACAACGUAACUGGUGACUAUAAAGGUGCACUACGGGUAUCUCCGAAAGUGUUUGUUGGGUUGGCACGAAUCAAGACUGGGAUUUGUCACUCCAUAUGACGAAGAGGUAUCUUUGGGCCCACUCGGUAAUGCAUCAUCAUAAUGAGCUCAAUGUGACCAAGUGUCUGGUCACGGGAUCAUGCAUUACGGUACGAGUAAAGUGACUUGCCGGUAACGAGAUUAAACGAGGUAUUGGGAUACCGAUGAUCGAAUCUCGGGCAAGUAACGUACCGAUUGACAAAGGUAAUUGUAUACGGGAUUGAUUGAAUCCUCGAUAUCAUGGUUCAUCCGAUGAGAUCAUCGAGGAGCAUGUGGGAGCCAACAUGCGUAUCUAGAUCCCGCUGUUGGUUAUUGACCGGAGAGUCGUCUCGGUCAUGUCUUCAUGUCUCCCGAACCCGUAGGGUCUACACACUUAAGGUUCGGUGAUGCUAGGGUUGUUGAGAUAUUAGUAUGCGGUAACCCGAAAGUUGUUCGGAGUCAGGAUGAGAUCCCGGACGUCACGAGGAGUUACGGAAUGGUUCGGAGGUGAAUAUUUAUAUAUAGGAAAUCCAGUUUCGGCCAUCGGGAAAGUUUUGGGGGUCACCGGUAUUGUACCGGGACCACCGGAAGGGUCCUGGGGGUCCACCGGGUGGGGCCACCUAUCCCGGAGGGCCCCAUGGGCUGAAGUGGGAGGGGAACCAGCCCCUGGUGGGCUGGUGCGCCCCCCUCCCCCUGGCCCCCCCUGCGCCUAGGGUUGGAAACCCUAGGGGUGGGGGGGCGCCCAACUUGGCUUGGGGGGCAAGCCACCCCCCCUUGCCCCCCCCCCCAUCUAGAUGGGAUAUAGAGGGGCCGGCGCCCCUCCUGGACCCCUAUAUAAAGAGGGGGGAGGAAGGGCUGCGCACCCAGCCCCUGGCGCCUCCCGUGACACCUCUCCCUCUCGCUGUGCUUGGCGAAGCCCUGCUGAGAUCGCUGCUGCAUCCACCACCACGCCGUCGUGCUGCUGGAUCUCCAUCAACCUCUCCUUCCCCCUUGUUGGAUCAAGAAGGAGGAGACGUCUUCCCAACCGUACGUGUGUUGAACGCGGAGGUGCCGUCCGUUCGGCGCUAGGAUCUCCGGUGAUUUGGAUCACGACGAGUACGACUCCCUCAACCCCGUUCUCUUGAACACUUCCGCGUGCGAUCUACAAGGGUAUGUAGAUGCACUCCUCUCUCUCGUUGCUAGAUAACUCCAUGGAUUGAUCUUGGUGAAGCGUAGAAAAAUUUUAUUUUUUGCGACGUUCCCCAACAGUGGCAUCAUGAGCUAGGUCUAUGCGUAGUUUCUAUGCACGAGUAGAACACAAACUUGUUGUGGGCGUAGAUGUUGUUAAUUUUCUUGCCACUACUAGUCUUAUCUUGCUUCGGCGGCAUCGUGGGAUGAAGCGGCCCGGACCGACUUUACACGUACACUUACGUGAGACAGGCUCCACCGACUGACAUGCACUAGUUGCAUAAGGUGGCUAGCGGGUGUCUGUCUCUCCCACUUUAGUUGGAGCGGAUUCGAUGAAAAGGGUCCUUAUGAAGGGUAAAUAGAAAUUGGCAUAUCACGUUGUGGUUUUACGUAGGUAAGAAACGUUCUUGCUAGAAACCUAUAGAAGCCACGUAAAAACAUGCAACAACAAUUAGAGGACGUCUAACUUGUUUUUGCAGCAUUUGCCUUUGUGAUGUGAUAUGGCCAAAAGUUUGUGAUGAAUGAUAUAUAUGUGAUGUAUGAGAUCAUGUUCUUGUAAUAGGAAUCACGACUUGCAUGUCGAUGAGUAUGACAACCGGCAUAAGCCAUAGGAGUUGUCUUAAUUAUUGUAUGACCUGCAUGUCAAUGAAUAAACACCAUGUAAUUCCUUUUCUUUAUUACUAAAUUGUUAGCCAUAGUAGUAGAAGUAAUAGUUGGCGAACAACUUCAUGGAGACACGAUGAUGGAGAUCAUGAUGAUGGAGAUCAUGGUGUCUUGCCGGUGAGAAGAUGAUCAUGGCGCCCCGAAGAUGGAGAUCAAAGGAGCAAUAUGAUAUUGGCCAUAUCAUGUCACUAUUUGAUUGUAUGUGAUGUUUAUCAUGUUUUACAUCUUAUUUGCUUAGAACGACGGUAGCUUAAAUAAGAUGAUCCCUUGCAAUAAUUUCAAGAAAGUGUUCCCCCUAACUGUGCACCGUUGCGAAGGUUCGUUGUUUCGAAGCACCACGUGAUGAUCGGGUGUGAUAGAUCCUAACGUUCGAAUACAACGGAUGUAAGCCAGAUUUACACACGCAAUACACUUAGGUUGACUUGACGAGCCUAGCAUGUACAGACAUGGCCUCGGAACACGGAAGACCGAAAGGUCGAGCAUGAAUCAUAUAGAAGAUAUGAUCAACAUGAAGAUGUUCACCGAUGUCGAUUAGUCCAUCUCACGUGAUGAUCGGACACGGCCUAGUUGACUCGGAUCAUGUUUCACUUAGAUGACUAGAGGGAUGUCUGUCUGAGUGGGAGUUCAUUGAAUAAUUUGAUUAGAUGAACUUAAUUAUCAUGAACUUAGUCUAAAAUCUUUACAAUAUGUCUUGUAGAUCAAAUGGCCCAUGCUAAUGUUGCCCUCAACUUCAACGCGUUCCUAGAGAAAACCAAGCCGAAAGAUGAUGGCAGCAACUAUACGGACUGGGUCCGGAACCUGAGGAUCAUCCUCAUAGCUGCAAAGAAAGAUUAUGUCUUAGAAGCACCGCUAGGUGAAGCACCCAUCCCAGAGAACCAAGACGUUAUGAACGCUUGGCAGUCUCGUGCUGAUGAUUACUCCCUCAUUCAGUGUGGCAUGCUUUCAGGGGCGGACCCAGGACAAAAAUGACUCGGGGUCCCAAGUCUAUCACAUAUUCGUGGAUAUCAAGUCAUAAUACACAUAAAAUUAGCACACUUAGCAAUACAAUAUACAUAGAAUCCUAUAUGACCAUGAAUAUGAUUACCAAAAUUCCAAAAUAAAGAGUUCACCUUAUCAAUAUUUUUUGAUCAUAGGAAAUUGAACAGUAAAGGUGAAUCGAAGUGUCCAAAUUAUGAAUAAAGUAUAACCGAUGAUGAGAAAAUGCAUCGCUAGAUCUUAAUUGCCUACAAAUCAAAAGUAACAAAACUACUUAGCAACAUAUCUCUAUGAUUUGGAUGGUACUCAUCUAGGCUUCUUCUUUUACCUAGAUCAAAUUUACUUCUUCCCAAUUGAUCUCUUCUUCAACUUGAAAUGAAUUCCUUGUAUUAUUGGCAGAACUAGGUUCAUGUGUGAAGGCAUUAUUCUGUCCAGGUGGUGAUGGAGGGGCUGGGACAUCAAUCCGUUCGUGUGGUGAGGCAUCAUUUUGUCCGCCCAACUGUGGCAGGACCGAUGCAUCAUUCUGGUUAUGUUCAUGAUAGGGCUCUGUUGGGUGUGGAUGCUUGUUUCUUGUUGGUUAGUUGGUGGCUUUAUUAAUAUAAAGUUGGGCCUUUGGCCUUUUAUCCAAUAUAACAAGAUAUUAUGUUCAUGUGACGGGCAUUCAUCUUACACUAUCCGCUUCUCUUUUUUCAGUAAACUGAGCUUCUCUAAUUUGUAAUUGUUUAGAUAAUUAUAUUUUCUGCAAAUGAGUAAACUAUGAAUCAUGUGUACAUACAUAACAUGAAUUGCAACUGCACGACAGUAAAAUAUAACUUACUUGACAUGUUGCCGGUGCUUCCAGCCGUCCUUGUCUACUAGAGUAUUGCAAUAUUGUUCUCCACUGACCACUACAAUAGCCAAAUAGUCCAAUAGCCAAUAUAAUCAAAAUCUAUAAUCUUAACCAAUAGCCCUAAUUUCCUAGGGUUAGAGAAACAAAGCAAGAAUUGGAAUGGGAUUUGGAAAUUGCAAUAGAGGCAGACACACACCGAAUUGGGGUUUGAUCCAAGAUACCUAUUCUUUCGUUCUUCACUGAUUGGGCGAAUUGGGGCGAUCUGGCUGCCGCCGUCGGCUGCGAGCACGAUGUACAGGGGCACGGAGCGCAGCGGCGAGUAGAGGAAGGUGACAGGCACGUACGUAUCGAUGAAUUGAUCCAUUUGAUCGAUGGACGAAUGUGUUGGGCCUUUGCCAGGGCAUCACGCGCUGCUAGUCGGCUGGGCUGUCUACGGCCUUGUUGGCUAGUUGUGGCCGUUUGGUCUGCACGGGGUGUCCCUUUCAGAAAUUUAGGGGUGUCCAAGUCUACGUGGGCUCUAUAUAUAUAACGUAAGAUGAUUUUUUACCCGGUGUCAUGGGCUACCUGCUGGGCCAACAUGGGCCCGCCCCUGCAUGCUUUACAGCUUAGAACCGGGGCUCCAAAAGCGUUUUGAGCAACACGAAGCAUAUGAGAUGUUCGAAGAGCUGAAAAAUGGUUUUCCAAGCUCAUGCCCGGGUAGAGAGAUAUGAAGUCUCCGACAAGUUCUUCAGUUGUAAGAUGGAGGAAAAUAGUUCUGUCAGUGAGCACAUACUCAAAAUGUCUGGGUUGCACAACCGCUGACUCAGCUGGGAGUUAAUCUCCCGGAUGACGCGGUUAUUGACAGAAUCCUUCAGUCGCUUCCACCGAGCUACAAGAGCUUUGUGAUGAACUUCAAUAUGCAGGGGAUGGAAAAGACCAUUCCUGAGGUAUAUUCAAUGCUGAAAUCAGCGGAGGUAGAGAUCAAAAAGGACAUCAAGUGUUGAUGGUGAAUAAAACCACUAAGUUCAAGAAAGGCAAGGGUAAGAAGAACUUCAAGAAGGACGGCAAGGGAGUUGCCGCGCCCGGUAAGCCAGUUGCCGGGAAGACGCCAAAGAAUGGACCCAAGCCUGAGACUGAGUGCUUUUAUUGCAAGGGAAGUGGUCACUGGAAGCGGAACUGCCCCAAGUACUUAGCGGACAAGAAGGUCGGCAACACCAAAGGUAUAUGUGAUAUACAUGUUAUUGAUGUGUACCUUACCAGCACUCGUAGUAGCUCCUGGGUAUUUGAUACCGGUGCGGUUGCUCAUAUUUGUAACUCAAAGCAGGAGCUGUGGAAUAAGCGGAGACUAGCAAAGGACGAGGUGACGAUGCGCGUCGAGAAUGGUUCCAAGGUCGAUGUGAUCGCCGUCGGCACGCUACCUCUACAUUUACCUACGGGAUUAGUUUUAAACCUCAAUAAUUGUUAUUUAGUGCUAGCUUUGAGCAUGAACAUUGUAUCUGGAUCUCGUUUAAUACGAGAUGGCUACUCAUUUAAAUCCGAAUGGUUGUUCUAUUUAUAUGAGAGAUAUGUUUUAUGGUCAUGCCCCGCUAGUAAAUGGUUUAUUCUUAAUGAAUCUCGAACGUGAUGUUACACAUAUUCAUAGUGUGAAUACCAAAAGAUGUAAGGUUGAUAACGAUAGUCCCACAUACUUGUGGCACUGCCGCCUUGGUCACAUUGGUGUCAAGCGCAUGAAGAAGCUCCAUGCUGAUGGACUUUUAGAGUCUCUCGAUUAUGAAUCAUUUGACACAUGCGAAUCAUGCCUCAUGGGCAAAAUGACCAAGACUCCGUUCUCCGGAACAAUGGAGUGAGCAACCAACUUAUUGGAAAUCAUACAUACUGAUGUGUGCGGUCCAAUGAGCGUUGAGGCUCGCGGAGGAUAUCAUUAUGUUCUCACUCUCACUGACGACUUGAGUAGAUAUGGGUAUGUCUACUUGAUGAAACACAAGUUUGAGACCUUUGAAAAGUUCAAGGAAUUUCAGAAUGAGGUAGAGAAUCAACGUGACCGAAAGAUAAAGUUCUUACGAUCAGAUCGUGGAGGAGAAUAUUUAAGUCACGAAUUUGGUACGCACUUAAGGAAAUGUGGAAUCGUUUCACAACUCACGCCGCCUGGAACACCUCAGCAUAACAGUGUGUCUGAACGUCGUAAUCACACUUUAUUGGAUAUGGUGCGAUCUAUGAUGUCUCUUACCAAUUUACCGUUGUCAUUUUGGGGAUACGCUCUAGAGACAACUACAUUCACUUUAAAUAGGGCACCGUCUAAAUCAGUUGAGACGACACCGUAUGAAUUAUGGUUUGGGAAGAAACCUAAGCUGUCGUUUCUAAAAGUUUGGGGAUGCGAUGCUUAUGUCAAGAAACUUCAACCUGAAAAGCUCGAACCCAAGUCGGGAAAAUGCGUCUUCAUAGGAUACCCUAAGGAAACCAUUGGGUAUACCUUCUACCUCAGAUCCGAAGGCAAGAUCUUUGUUGCCAAGAAUGGGUCCUUUCUGGAGAAAGAGUUUCUCUCGAAAGAAGUAAGUGGGAGGAAAGUGGAACUUGAUGAAGUACUACCUCUUGAACCGGAAAGUAGCGCAGCUCAGGAAGAUGUUCCUGUGGUGCCUGCACCGACUAGAGAGGAAACCAAUGAUGAUGAUCAAGGUACUUCAGAUCAAGUUACUACUGAACUUCGUAGGUCCACGAGGACACGUUCCACACCAGAGUGGUACGGCAACCCUGUCCUGUAAAUCAUGUUGUUAGACAACGGUGAACCUUCGAACUAUGAAGAAGCGAUGGCGGGCCCAGAUUCCAACAAAUGGCUUGAAGCCAUGCAAUCCGAGAUAGGAUCCAUGUAUGAAAACGAAGUAUGGACUUUGACAGACUUGCCCGAUGAUCGGCGAGCGAUAGAAAACAAAUGGAUCUUUAAGAAGAAGACGGACACGGAUGGUAAUGUUACCAUCUAUAAAGCUCGACUAGUCGCUAAGGGUUAUCGACAAGUUCAAGGGGUUGACUACGAUGAGACAUUCUCUCCCGUAGCGAAGCUAAAAUUCGUCCGAAUCAUGUUAGCAAUUGUCGCAUACAAUGAUUAUGAGAUAUGGCAAAUGGACGUCAAAAUGGCAUUCCUUAACGGCUAUCUUAAGGAAGAACUGUAUAUGAUGCAACUGGAAGGUUUUGUCGAGCCUGAGAAGGCUAACAAGGUAUGCAAACUCCAGCGAUCCAUUUAUGGGCUGGUGCAAGCAUCUCGGAGUUGGAACAUUCGCUUUGAUGAGAUGAUCAAAGCGUUUGGGUUUAUGCAGACUUAUGGAGAAGUCUGCGUUUACAAGAAAGUGAGUGGGAACUCUGUAGCAGUUCUCAUAUUAUAUGUGGAUGACAUACUUUUGAUGGGAAAUGAUAUAGAACUUUUGGACAGCAUUAAGGCCUACUUGAAUAAGUGUUUUUCAAUGAAGGACCUUGGAGAAGCUGCUUACAUAUUAGGCAUCAAGAUCUAUAGGGAUAGAUCGAGACGCCUCAUAGGUCUUUCACAAAGCACAUACCUUGAUAAGAUAUUGAAGAAGUUCAAUAUGGAUCAGUCCAAGAAGGGGUUCUUGCCUGUGUUGCAAGGUGUGAAAUUAAGCUCAACUCAAUGCCCGACCACGGCAGAAGAUAGAGAAAAGAUGAGUGUCAUCCCCUAUGCCUCAGCUAUAGGGUCUAUUAUGUAUGCCAUGCUGUGUACUAGACCUGAUGUAAACCUUGCCGUAAGUUUGGUAGGAAGGUACCAAAGUAAUCCCGGCAUGGAACACUGGACAGCGGUCAAGAACAUCCUAAAGUACCUGAAAAGGACUAAGGAUAUGUUUCUCAUUUAUGGAGGUGACGAAGAGCUCGUCGUAAAGGGUUACGUCGACGCUAGCUUCGACAUAGAUAUAGAUGACUCUAAGUCACAAACCGGAUACGUGCAUAUUUUGAAUGGUGGGGCAGUAAGCUGGUGCAGUUGCAAGCAAAGCGUCGUGGCGGGAUCUACAUGUGAAGCAGAGUACAUGGCAGCCUCAGAGGCAGCGCAUGAAGCAAUCUGGAUGAAGGAGUUCAUCACCGACCUAGGAGUCAUACCCAAUGCGUCGGGGCCGAUCACACUCUUCUAUGGCAACACUAGAGCUAUUGCACUUGCCAAGGAGCCCAGGUUUCACAAGAAGACCAGGCACAUCAAGCGUCGCUUCAACUCCAUUCGUGAAAAUGUUCAAGAUGGAGACAUAGAUAUUUGUAAAGUACAUACAGACCUGAAUGUAGCAGAUCUGUUGACUAAACCUCUCCCUAGAGCAAAACAUGAUCAACACCAGAACUCUAUGGGUGUUCGAUCCAUUACAAUGUAACUAGAUUAUUGACUCUAGUGCAAGUGGGAGACUGUUGGAAAUAUGCCCUAGAGGCAAUAAUAAAAUGAUUAUUAUUAUAUUUCCUUGUUCAUGAUAAUUGUCUAUUGUUCAUGCUAUAAUUAUGUUAUCCGGAAAUCAUAAUACAUGUGUGAAUAUAUAGACCACAACACGUCCCUAGUGAGCCUCUAGUUGACUAGCUCGUUGAUCAACAGAUAGUCAUGGUUUUCUGACUAUGGACAUUGGAUGUCAUUGAUAACGGGAUCAAAUCAUUAGGAGAAUGAUGUGAUGGACAAGACCCAAUCCUAAGCGUAUCACAAGAUCGUGUAGUUCGUUUUGCUAGAGCUUUUCCAAAUGUCAAGUAUCAUUUCCUUAGACCAUGAGAUUGUGCAACUCCCAGAUACCGUAGGAGUGCUUUGGGUGUGCCAAACGUCACAACGUAACUGGGUGACUAUAAAGGUGCACUACGGGUAUCUCCGAAAGUGUUUGUUGGGUUGGCACGAAUCGAGACUGGGAUUUGUCACUCCGUACGACAGAGAGGUAUCUCUGGGCCCACUCGGUAAUGCAUCAUCAUAAUGAGCUCAAUGUGACCAAGUGUCUGGUCAAGGGAUCAUGCAUUACGAUACGAGUAAAGUGACUUGCCAGUAACGAGAUUAAACGAGGUAUUGGGAUACCGACGAUUGAAUCUCGGGCAAGUAACGUACCGAUUGACAAAGGGAAUUGUAUACGGGAAUGAUUGAAUCCUCGACAUCAUGGUUCAUCCGAUGAGAUCAUCGAGGAGCAUGUGGGAGCCAACAUGGGUAUCCAGAUCCCGCUAUUGGUUAUUGACCGGAGAGUCGUCUCGGUCAUGUCUGCAUGUCUCCCGAACCCGUAGGGUCUACACACUUAAGGUUCGGUGAUGCUAGGAUUGUUGAGAUAUUAGUAUGCGGUAACCCGAAAGUUGUUCGGAGUCCCGGAUGAGAUCCCGGACGUCACGAGGAGUUCCGGAAUGGUCCGGAGGUGAAGAUUUGUAUACAGGAAGUCCAGUUUCGGCCAUCGGGAAAGUUUCGGGGGUCACCGGUAUUGUACCGGGACCACCGGAAGGGUCCCGGGGGUCCACCGGGUGGGGCCACCUAUUUGGAGGGCCCCAUGGGCUGAAGUGGGAGGGGAACCAGCCCCUGGUGGGCUGGUGCGCCCCCCCUUGGGCCCCCCUGCGCCUAGGGUUGGAAACCCUAGGGGUGGGGGGCGCCCCACUUGGCUUGGGGGGCAAGCCACCCCCCAUCUAGAUGGGAUCUAGAGGGGCCGGCGCCCCCCUGGACCCUAUAUAAAGAGGGGGGAGGGAGGGCUGCGCACCCAGCCCCUGGCGCCUCCCUCUCCCUCCCGUGACACCUCUCCCUCUCGCUGUGCUUGGCGAAGCCCUGCCGAGAUCGCUGCUGCAUCCACCACCACGCCGUCGUGCUGCUGGAUCCAUCAACCUCUCCUUCCCCCUUGCUGGAUCAAGAAGGAGGAGACGUCUUCCCUGUACGAAGCGGAAAACAUCUUACCCUCGACCAGAGGAGACGCUGCAUUUAUAUUAGGCAGGGGUGCGAGUCCUGGAGAGAUCGCAUACAGUUGAGAUACAGUUGGGAUACGAGAGCGAUUACAACUUGGAGAAUAAGCUAGGUAGAUAUAGAGUUAUAGUUACAGAAGAUAAACAUCUCCUAGCUAAAUAACCAAGGACUCCCGAGGACUCCUGGUGCGGUUCAGCAACCACCUGCACGUCUGAGUUUAACACCCUCCCGCAAUCACAACUUCAUCAAGUUGAGAUUAUGCUUGAAAUCUUCAAAACUUCUUGUAGGCAAAGGCUUUGUAAAUCCAUCUGCAAGUUGAUCUCUGGAAUGCACAAGCAAAGCGAAUGUCAAGUUGCUUCCGAGCAACUCUUUCUCUGACAAAAUGAAAAUCUAUCUCGAUAUGUUUUGUCCUGGCAUGGAACACUGGAUUUGCAGAGAGGUACGUUGCACCAAGAUUGUCACACCACAAACAAGGAGCCUGCUUACUUUGUAUGCCAAGUUCCUUCGGCAUGGACUGAACCCAUAUUAUCUCUGCUGUAGCAUUUGCUAAUGCCUUAUACUCAGCCUCUGUGCUUGACCUGGAUACAGUAGCCUGUUUACGUGCACACCACGAUAUCAAAUUUGGUCCAUAGAAUACUACAAAACCACCAGUGGAGCGUCUGUCAUCAAGGCAGCCAGCCCAGUCAGAGUCAGAAAAUGCACUGACAAGAGUGAAUGGUGAUUUGCUGAAGUUCAGUCCCAAGCUCAAAGUAUGCUUAACAUAUCGAAUGAUACGUUUUGCAGCUGUCAAAUGAACAUUGGUGGGUGCAUGAAGAAACUGGCAUACUUUGUUUACAGCAAAGGAAAUAUCAGGUCUGGUGAGUGUGAGAUACUGAAGAGCUCCUACCAGACUUCUGUAUUUAGUGAUGUCCUCUUGAUUCAAAGCCUCACCCUCUGCAAGAGACAAUUUUUCUGAGCUAGAUAAUGGGGUAAGUGAAGGCUUACAUCCCUGCAAUCCAGCUUUCUUAACCAGAUCAGUUGCAUAUUUUUCUUGUGAGAGGAGAAGUCCAUCCUUGUGUUUCUUCACCUCAAUCCCAAGAAAGUAAUGCAAGUCACCAAGAUCCUUUAGGGCAAAAUCUGCACUCAAAUCCUUAAGAAGUCCCAUGAUUGCUUCAUCAGAUGAGCUAGUCACAAUAAUAUCAUCAACAUAUAUGAGAACAAAUAUGCAUGUGUUGGACUUAUUGUAGAUGAACAAUGAUGUGUCAGACUUGGAAGGAACAAAACCUAGUGCUUGCAUUUUGUGACAGAGACGAGCAUACCAUGCCCUUGGAGCUUGCUUCAAACCAUAUAAUGCUUUAUCAAGUUUGCAUACAUAAGAAGGAGCAUUCUUACUCUUAAACCCAGGAGGUUGUUUCAUAUACACUUCCUCUUCCAGAACGCCAUGGAGGAACGCAUUCUGAACAUCGAGCUGUCUGAGACUCCAUCCUCUAGAGACUGCAAUAGACAGGACAAGACGAAUAGUGGCUGCCUUUACCACCGGACUGAAGGUGUCCUCAUAGUCUAUGCCAUAUUGCUGCUUGAACCCUUUUGCAACUAGUCUAGCCUUGUAACGAUCAAUGGUUCCAUCAGCCUUCCUCUUAAUCCUGAAAACCCACUUGCAAUCAAUCAAAUUUUUACCUUGUUGUGGGGGAACCAAAUGCCAUGUUUUAUUUCUUUUCAAUGCCAUAUAUUCUUCAUGCAUGGCUUUCUUCCACUUCUCAUCAUACAGUGCUGCUUCAAGGGUAUUGGGCUCACCUGGUUCACCUGUGGAGCAAACCAUACAGUAUUUGGUCAUAUGCUUAUAGUUAAUAGGUUGUAUUACCCCUUGUUGCAGCCGUGUACGCCGCUGUUUAGGCACAGCCGGAUCAGGCACAGAAGAUCCAGGAAACUGCUCCUGCACCGCAUCUGAUCACGAGGAAGAUUCUGGCUGAUUUUCUGCGGCUGUGUGUCGAAGGGAGUUGCCUGGAACAGCCACAGAAGAUCCUGCCGAGGCAUCUGCAUGUGCAUGCAACUCAUCAUUGCAUAAUGAUGACGCAACCGUCGUAUCUGCCUGGAUUUCAGCGCCACUCGCGCGCGCCGCGCCACCUGCACCCUGGGCUGCUGUGCCAGUCGAACAGCCAGCCCUGCACCGCACGCCAUCGCGCCGCGUGUACGUGACAGGUUGGCUGGCGUACCUCGUACCGCCGGAUUGGUGCGGAGCGUUGUGCGCCUGCGCCUGUGGGACCCCCGUGGGGCCGGCACAUGGGCCUGAGGAAGAUGCCGCGUGCACCUCGCGCGCGCCUGCUCCAGCCACGACAGUAGGGGGCGAUCCCGAGACGCCUGCCCCUGACGCAGAAUCAGGAGGCGAUCCCGAGGCUGAUUCGGUUUGCUGCAGCCGAACGGAUCCCGAGGGCGGGUUAUCUCCCCUGGUGGAGCACAUGGGAUAUGGCAUUGUUGGACCUCCGUUUUUUCAGUUUCCAUACGGAUUUCUUCUAUUUCAUCAACACAAAACUCAUGCACUUCAUUAGAUGGGUUAGUCAACAACAAAUCAUCUAUAUUCGGUCCCCCUUGAUCAAAACUAGUGAGGUUUGGAGGCAAAAGGAGGAUUUCUUUCCGUAGUAGUGCACCAGCAUUGGGAUGGAGGUCAGCAAACGGAAACUUGGUUUCAUCAAAGACCACGUCACGUGAGAUAUAGACACGGCCAGUGGAGACAUCUAGGCACUUGACCCCCUUGUGCUGAGCACUAUAUCCUAGGAAGACACACUGUUUUGAGCGAAACAUGAGUUUGCGAGUGUUGUAUGGACGUAAGUUGGGCCAACAUGCACACCCAAAGACACGGAGAGACUUAUAAUCUGGUUUAGUGUGAAGAAGCCUUUCUACCGGAGUUUCAUUGUUAAUGACACGACUAGGUAGCAUGUUGAUAAUGUGAACAGCCGUGAGGAAAGCUUCGUCCCAAAACUUGAGAGGCAUGGAGGCACCUGCUAAAAGAGCAAGACCAACCUCGACAAUGUGCUUGUGCUUGCGUUCAGCGGACCCGUUUUCUUGGUGAGCAUGCGGGCAUGACACGUGAUGUGAGAUGCCAAGAUUUUGGAAAAAGGAAUUUAGCUUUUCGUAUUCCCCUCCCCAAUCGGAUUGGACAACGAUAAUUUUGCUAUCAAACUUGCGUUCAACGAGCGCUUGAAAGUUUUUGAAAACUUGAAACACAUCUGAUCUUUUCUUAAGAAGGUAGAUCCAAGAAAAUUUACUGUAGUCAUCAAUGAAACUGACGUAAUAUGUAUGUCUACCAACAGAAGUGGGGGCUGGACCCCAAACAUCAGAAAAAAUAAGUUGCAGAGGUUUGGUAGAAAUGCUAGUAUAGAUGGGAUAUGGCAAUUGAUGACUUUUAGCUCGUUGACAUGAAACACAAAUAGUUUCAGCAUGACGCUCACCAACAAACGGGAGCUUAUUUUUCCUAAGUAACUUUUCAACUAAAGAAAAAGAGGCAUGUCCUAGACGAUCAUGCCAUCGAGUGGACGACAGCUUGAUAGCACCACAAGCUUGCUUAUUGAAUCUUCUAAACUCCGGAAUCAACGGAUAGAGCCUUCGAACACAUCUACCUCGAUAGAGGAUUUUCCUCGUUGCCUGAUCCUUGAUCAAAAAGAAGAAGGGAUGAAAUUCGAGAAAGACAUGAUUAUCAAUGGCAAUUCUAUGUAUGGAAAGAAGAUUUUUGUGUGCACUAGGGACAUGCAAGAUUCUUUUAAAGUGUAGUUUGCGACUAGGGGUACGAAAUAUAGAGUGACCAAUGUGACUUAUACCCAUACCUUCUCUGCUGGCAGUAUGGAUUUGAUCCUUGCCGCGAUAUUUUUCCUUCAUGGUUACCUUCUCAAGCUUGUUCGUGAUGUGAUUUGUAGCCCCGCUGUCGACAUACCAAUUUGUGUCAACACCGUAUGAACCAUCCGCGGCGGCAGCCACCUUGUCAUCGUCUUGAGAAUCAUCAUCAUCAUCAUCAUACCGGUACCAGCAAUCUUUUGCUGUGUGACCGGGCUUCCCGCAGAUCUGGCACCGUGGGGUUUCCGGACGUGUUCUGUUGCUGCCACCGCGCCCGCGCCCGUGGCCGCGGCCGCCCGAGCGCUGAGGAGAGUGGCCGCGGUCGUUCCCGCCGCUGCCACCAGAACGCCCUUUGUAGCGAGAGGAGCCACGUGAGCGAGGUCCACCACCCCGACCGCGAGACGCCAUGUUUGCAGAGGACUUGAAGCCGCCACCGCCGGAGCCAUUGUAUUGAGCCAUGCGCUGGUCGAAGUUCGACAACAUGGCGAAGAGUUCAUCGAGGGGCGCAGGAGUGACGCGGGCGUCGAGGGCCGACACCAGAGGUUGAUAGUCCGCCUCCAAGCCAUGGAUGAUGUAGGAGACAAGCUCAUCGUCCUGGAUGGGCUUGCCCGCCGCGGCCAGCUCGUCGGCAUAGCCACGCAUGGCGGCGAAGUAGGAGGCAACCGAGAGGCUACCCUUCUGCGCGUUGAUGAGGGAGGUGCGGAUGUUGUUAAUGCGGCUCGCCGAUUGUGACGAGAACAUGGCUGCGAGUGUCGUCCAGAGCACGCUCGCCAUGGUGAUUGUGGUCACCGUGACCAGGACCUCUUUUGUGAGGUUAUUUAGCAGGUAGCCAAGGACCUGCUGAUCCUCCCGUACCCAUAUAGGGUGGAGAGGGUUGGGAGAUGAAGUCUCCUUGCCUUCCUUGGUGGUGACGAGGAGCUUGGCCGGCUCCGGGUUGGUGCCGUCGACGUAGCCGAAGACACCGGCGCCGCGCAGUUGAGGUGUGAUCUGCGUGCGCCACAACACGUAGUUCGUGCGAAACAGCUUCUCUGUAACCUGACUAUUGAGACUAGGCGAGAAGGAGCCGGAGGAAGACAUGGCUAGGCUAGAUAGGUUCGGCAGAGACUCUCGAUGGGAAAAGGAAAGCUCUGACUACCAUGUACGAAGCGGAAAACGUCUUACCCUCAACCAGAGGAGACGCUGCGUUUAUAUUAGGCAGGGGUGCGAGUCCUGGAGAGAUCGCAUACAGUUGAGAUAUAGUUGGGAUACGAGAGGGAUUACAACUUGGAGAAUAAGCUAGGUAGAGAUAGAGUUAUAGUUACAGAAGAUAAACAUCUCCUAGCUAAAUAACCAAGGACUCCCGAGGACUCCUGGUGCGGUUCAGCAACCUGCUGCGGUUCAGCAACCACCUGCACGUCUGAGUUUAACAUUCCCAACCGUACGUGUGUUGAACGCGGAGGUGUCGUCCGUUCGGCGCUAGGAUCUCCGGUGACUUGGAUCACGACGAGUACGACUCCCUCAACCCCGUUCUCUUGAACGCUUCCGCGCGCGAUCUACAAGGGUAUGUAGAUGCACUCCUCUCUCUCGUUGCUAGAUAACUCCAUAGAUUGAUCUUGGUGAAGCGUAGAAUUUUUUUAUUUUCUGCAACCUUCCCCAACAGGGAGCAGCGCCCUGAACGAAUAAAUAUGCCUUAGCUCCACUCCCACAUAGCGAUGCUCUUCAUGGCGGCGUCUCGGAGUUGAUGGCAUCGUGUGUUUGCCAAUCCUUCAGAUCAGCGGCGUUAGGGUUCCUAUAUGGUGUCUACAAGGAGGUGGUGGUGAAUCUAUCGGGUGUGUCUCUCCUUCUGCUCUGUACUCAUUGUUGCGGUGUUGUCUCCGACGUCAUGGUGGAGCAGAAGAGGUUUUGUCACCACGCGCAGACGGUUGUCUAUGCGAGUGAUAGCUGGAAGAUGGUGCAUCUUGUGCUAGGUUUGUGGUUGGAGGCUGAUAGUUCUAGAUUCAUCCUUCAACGUCGUCGUCGUGUGGGGAUGUUAGAUCUGAAGUUCGAUGGUGUGUCCGAGGACAUGUUGCUCCGGUCUAAUUCUUUCAACGGCAAUGGUUUUGCUUCCGUCAAAUUACUUUGGAGGUCCGUAAAGUAGCGACGAAGCAACUCGAGCUUGGGGUGAAGAGGUGAUCUGUUUUCUUCCCUUUGGUGGUCGCUUCGGUGGUGUCGAAGGAGAGGGAAAAGCGUUGGUAUUUUGCGUAUGAUUAUCCUACCUUUUUAGUCCUGUAAGGUCGGUGUUUACGUGUCUUGUUACUGGAUCUUUAUUCUAUAAAUAAGACACGUAUUACCAGGUUAAAAAAAUCAAACUUUUGAGAAAAGUGUUAAAAAAUAUAUUUAAAAAUAUUAAUCAAUCAUUUGAAAAAUGUGGAAUAUGUAUAGAAAAAAUGUUGAUCAUGUAUUAAAAAAUAUUAAACUUGCAUUUGAAAAAUAUUAAAUGCAUACACAUAAAAUGUUGACAAUAUAUUCAAAACAUUUUAAACUUGUAUUCCAAAAAUGUUAAAUGUGUAUAUAAAAAUGUUGAUCAUUUAUUUAAAAAUGUUAAACGUGUAUUUGGAAAACUCUAAUAAAAACUUGAAAAAAAUAUGUAUAGAAAAAAAGUUGAACAUGUAUUAAAAAAUGCUGAACUUCUAUUUGAAAAAUGUUAAUCAAGCAUCUGAAAAAUAAAUGUGUAUAAAACAAUGUUGAACAUGUAUUAAAAAUAAUGUUAAUCUAAUAUUUGGGAAAUAUUAAUCUUGUUUCCACAUGUACUAAAACCCUUUAUUAGAUACAUAACAAAAAUGUGUAUCGAAAAACAAUGAAACCCAAUAGAAACAGAGAAAACAAAGAAAAUCAGUGAAAACAAGAAAUAAAUAAACAAAAUUGAAGAAAAAAUAAUGGAAACCCGGAAUGAAAUCAAGAAAAAAAAGAACAAGAACAGAGAAAACCACGUGCAAAAAAAAACAAGCGGAAAACCGGCUCGUUUCACCUCAAGUAGUUCGAGCCUUACUACUUUAUCACGAACCCAACGCGGGUCUGCACAUCAUCCAUCAGAUUAGGGAUCGAUCCUUGUGUGCUCCCAUUUUCUUCUCUAUUUCUUUUAAGUGUGCCUAAUUGAUCGGCCCAUUAUUGUAAACGCUUACGGUGAGAGUUUCUUACGUCCCGCUACAAGCGAGAUAUAGUCCCCACACAAUUUAUUCUGCAUCUGGACCAUUCUUCAAACAGCCAUUAGCACGAGCGCUCCUGGCCCGUCCAACAAACGGCCCAAUUCAGCCCGAUAUGUACAUCUCGGCCUACCCUCUUUUUGAAGUUGGUAUCUCGGCCUACCUUUUUCUAGAGCAUCUUGGUUAUAUAUGCCCUGUGGGGAUAAUGGAUAUGCCAUUCCGUUGCAAAAAGAAAAAAGAAAAACAUGUCGCUCUGGACCGGAUUUUUGUGUGCACCGAGCAGCGACACCUUCUUUUGGUGCACCAUCUAGAAGAUAACUGUUGUACAAAAAAAAAAGGCAGGAGCUUCGAAAUCCUAGGAUACAAUCGUACGAGAAUUGCUGGCUUGUUGCAAGCAUGCUACACCAUCAAAUGGUAUUACCCAAAAUGCUUUACGCAUGCUGCUCAUGCCUUGUCAACUCUCAAGCCUCAACCACAAGCCAGUUGAGCAAGGCCGUGAAAUCCUUGGCAUUUCUGGGCCACCAAGAGAGACAAGCUGCAAAUACUCGCAUACACCAGUGCUGUAAACUUGGAGUUGUAUGGUGAGCUUUAUUGUUCAGGACUUCAGACACGGGCGGAACCCAGAAACCUAGCGCCCCCACCGCGAGAUCCACCCCUCCUCUCCCGCCGCCGCCGGAGGAAGCUGCAGGGCGAAGCCGCUGCAGCCUACGGCGGCGGCGGGGGCCUUGCUCGCGUCGUGGGAUGGCCCUGGUCACGGCCGUGCCUCCCUCGGUGACCGCGGCGGCGGAUUUGGCAAGGGCGCUCGGAUUCGACUCGUCCGGCUCCGGUGGCCUGCCUCAUCGUCGACAUGAAGGUGCUGCUGCUCGAGCGCGGCCCAUGGUCUGCUAGGUGGUGGAGGGGCGCUCGGGGGUGGCGCUGGCGCCCAGAUCCACCUCGUCCUUCUCAGGUGCGUCGGGGGCUGGCCUGCUCCUUUCCUUCGGCGCUGUCUCGAUCCGGCCUGCCUCUGUGCGCCGCUGCAUCUUGCGGCGGCCCUCGGCUUCUCAGGCGAGCGACUGUUCCAGCUCGGGGAGGCGCGACCCUGGUUGUUCCUGUGCUCGGUGGGGCAGACUAAUUUCUGCCCAGAUCCGGUGCGCGCCGAUGUGGUCUCGCAAGAUCCGGGCAGCACACGCCCUGAAGAUGCCGUCAUGGUUUGUUGGUUGCUCACGCUCCGGAUGCAAAAUUCUGGGUCGACUUGGUCGACGCCGGUGGCAACGGCGGCUGUGGCUGUCGUUUUCCUCGCGGAGGGGCCGCCGUGGAGCUGUUUUUCAGCCGCAAACCUCCUGUUUCGUUGUUUUUCGGGUGAAAACCUAUGGUCGGGCUUGCCGGAUCGGGUGGCGGUGGUGUCUCUGGCAUCAUUCCCUUCUUGGAGGCGCCAUCUUGGAGACACGAACUUCGGCUAGUGUUGGUGUGUGUGGAUGAAGGAGGUGCGGCUGGUGGUUUGUUUGUGCGGCCGACUGGGGUCGACGGUGGUGUGUGAUGUGGUGGUGGAGUGGUGGUGGUGCGGCCGGCUUGCGCUGGUGUGCACGGUGAAGCGAUCCGGGUGUAGACUCGGCUCCUUGAUGCCCUUCGGCUUCGCCGGCGGUGCCGUUGUUGUGUUGUAGCCUCGGCUGCGUGUGACUCUUCGUCCGGGUGUGGACUCGGUCGCUCAUUGCCCUUCGGCUGCACCAAUAGCCUUGAGGCACCAUGGAUGGUCUCGGUUGAUUGGAGCUCUUCGUCUACGGUGGUGGUGUUCUCGUGCAGCUCAGGUUGGUAAUGGUUGCUCAAGACCCUCUCAUGGUUGCCAUUGUGUUGCGGCGAGCUUCGUGCUCUUGGUGUUGCCUCAGCUCAUCUUUGCUCGAGGAUGGCGCAAGAUGCCUUUCAAACUUGCUAAUCGUUCCGAUUUCCUGUGGCGGAGCCCCAGUCAAGGUUCGUGUCUGGGAUGACACUCGUUGAUUGUGGAUGCUCCUGAAUUGUGCCGUGGGGGCUGGUAUGCUCGCCGAUGUGUUCGGCUGUUUGCAAAGUCCUGGUAUUGUGAUCUCCCGACGACACCCCACAUCUACUUGCGUUUCUCGUGGUGAUGGUCUUAUGCCUACUAGCUUGGUCAUGCCUUGUACGGUUUUCGGCCCGGUUUUCCUUAUAAACGGGUCAAUUUGUUCAGGUUUUCGAUCCGGUUUUCCUUAUAAACUGGAUCACUCCUCUGGCAUUUUGGCCACUUUGAGUAAUAUAUUCAGGUGGAGGAACUCCUCCCCGGUGAUUCUCAAAAAAAAAGAGCUUUGUUGUUCAUGCUCCUGAUAAACCCCACGGGCUACCGGCUACGGCUACAACCUACAAGUAGAGGUAGUAGCAAUGUCUGGUGAGCUUUAUUGCUUUGCCAAAAACUGGCCCACACCCAUUGGUCAUGUUUGGAUACUCUAACUUUAGUUAGAGGUUAGAGUUAGUUUCUAACUUGUGUCUAACCCUGAACUAAUUCUAACUUUGGUGGUGUUUGGAUGAGAGGGUUAGAUUGACAAUAAAUGCACUUUCUCAAUCAUUUGGCCAUCUUUUCAGCCGGAUUUGUUGUGGUCGGCUCUUGUGUGGCCUCCUUCCGCUCAAAAAUGAAUAAUUCACAUUGCAUGAGAGACGACUAUCUUGUGCAAAAAAAAUCAGCGGACGGAGGAGCGACACACAUGCAAAUAAACAAACACCGAACAAAUAGCUGAAGAGAACUAAAAUGAGACACUUAAGAUACUGAACAAACACUGACCAAAUAACUAAUCACUUAACAUAUAGUUGAAAAGAACUAAAACUGAUACUUAGGAGUACUGAUGACUAAAAACUGAAAAUAAUCUAGCAAAAAACAUUACAAAAACUAAUAUAAGACUGAGAAGGCAAGCUUACAAACUGAGGAACAAGAAUAAUGAACAAUGAAUACUUAGGAAUAAGUACUCAAGAUUUUAUUUUGUCCAUACAAAUGAGACGUCUCACUUAAACGUACAAGUCCUCAAUCAAGCUUAAAAAAAAUUACACUCCAUGAAACAAAGCAUGAGCUAACUCAUCACGGAAGGCAUUCAUGUCGAUAUCUUCAACAAGAGAUUCGUCUUCUGGCCAUGCGGAUGCAGAAGAACUAGGCAUUGGGUUAUAGUUUUCAUCCGCAUCACACGCAUCAAAUUCCCUAUCCGGAAUUCUGCUCUCUCGAAUGAAAUUAUGAAGAACCAUACAAGCAACAAUAAUUCUAGUUUGCUUGUCCUCUGGAAAUUUUGGCAUGUUCAAUAAAAUCCUAAAUUUCAUCUUCAACACUCCAAAGGACCGCUCAAUGACAUUCCUAACUUUGGCAUGUGCAUGGUUGAAGGUUUCUUUCAUACCUUGUGGCGGCGGGCCGUUUUGCCAUUGUUGCACAUGGUACCUUGUACAUCUGUAUGGUGAAAGGUAGCCUGGACGGUUUGGGUACCCCGCAUCAACCACAUAAUACUUCCCUGCAAAUUGUGAAAGACACACAAUGAGACUUGGAUGAACAAGUGUAAUUGGAUAAAAAAAGUUGCAAGACAUUUGAAGUAGCAAACCUGGUGGUGGAUGUGGAAAUUUUUAAUGAUGAGUAGUUCUGGCAUCUUUCAAAACUCUCAUGUCAUGUGCUGAACCAGGCCAUCCCGACAUCACAAAUGUAAAUCUCAUGUCGAAAUCACAAACAGCAAGCACAUUCUGACUGGUUUCAUUGUGCCUGUUCAAGUAUGGAAUCCUCUUACUCUUAUCCACCACAACAUUCACAUGUGUCCCAUCUAUAGCUUCUAUGCAGUCAUUGAAGUGUGGCCAGAAUGCUGGAUUUUCUAAGUUUGGGUGCACCUCUGAAAAUGUUGGGUCCUUGGGUACAAUUAUGUCAUGUGCUAACCUGAGGAGGCAUGUCAAAACUCUGUUAAAUGUCCUACUUACUGUCUCCAUGGACCUCCUAAAACGGUUCUCAGCCUGUCUAACUGACUGUGGUGAUCCAACAAUCCAUAAAAACAUAGCUAGAGCCUCUACAGAUGUCAUUUUUGUAGUGGACUUCAAGCCAUAUGAUUGCACCAAAGUAUUAUGUAGCUUGUUAAACAAAGGUCUCUCAACCCUAAACAUGUUAUAGCAUUGGGUAUCUCGGGCUAGUGUCUCCUGCACCCAAUCCAAACCAGAGUAUCCACUGACCCUCCUAGGUAGUUUCACAAAGUAGUUAUCAGAGUACAUACCCAAGACAGGAACCAACUUCAAGAUUAAAUUCUCGGACUGCACCAAAUUGUUGCGGCACAUAGAUAUGAUCUCAUCCUCACUUGUGCUACCUCCAUCAUAUUCUUCUUCCUCAAUCAUGGGGACAUGAUCUUCUUCCUGUUUCAACACAUGUAUCAAAUUGUCAACACAUAUCAUAAAACUUGAAGGAAUGUAAGCAAAUGAAAUUAAUUCAGCCCGCAGAUAAAACAAAAUAGGUUCAACACAGAUAAUAGUUCAACACCUCACAAACACAUGAUAGGUUCAACAUAUACAACAAUUUAAAUAGAUUCAACAUCUUAACACACACACUUCAAACUACUCCAAAUUGUUGUCCCUGCGUCAUUUCUUGAAGUAACCCAACCUAAGCUCAGGAGUUAACAGGCCACAAAAGAACUCCCUUUGGUACUCUGUUUCGAACAUCUUAGACAUAGCAUAGACAGAGUCAACUGUUUGCUCAACGCCACACUCAAAUGCUAGCUCCUGACACCUCUUCACAGAAUAUGCAACCUUCUCAUUUGCACGUUUCUGCAUUUGCUUAGUGUUGGCUACGACAGACUCCUUAUAGGUAUUGGCUAUGUCCUUGACAAUCUUCACCAUUGGGCUCUUGCUCUUCUUCAAUGGACUGGUCAAAGUGCUUGAAGUGCUUAUUGAUCUCUUGCCCCUCUGGCUCCUCUGGUUGCUUGUACUUGUAGGUGUUCCUUGAAACUCCUCCUCUUCCUCUUCUACCCCUGCAUCUUGCCCUUGAUUCUGACCAUAAUCAUCUCCAGGCACAAAGGCUGUGCUUCCAUCCACGGUGUAACCUCUGAAUAGUCAAUCAAGCAACUCCUCGUUUGCUGGAGGACCCCACUGCAACUUCCUUAGGUAUGGUUUCUUCUGCAGGAUAGUGAAAAAGUAAAACUAGUUAAGAUAUGAGAGAUUCAUCAAGAUUUAUACUGAUGAAAAAGGCACAUGGAUGGACGGUGCAUGCACAUGGAUGGACUAGUAUGUGGUCGUUGAAAGCAUCAGUUUUGUUUUAUCUUCUCUGGCUGUUUGUUUCUUCCUGGUUAAAUUAUUGCUCCAGACUUAAAUUAUUUGACUAGCUCAGAUUCAUCAAGAUUUACUGCUCCAGACUUAAAUUAUUUGACUAGCUCAGAUUCAUCAACAGUCCAUUUUAUUUACAUAAAAGCAUAUAUAGUCGUAACUACGUGCAUAGAAGACCCAUAUACUUUGCCAAUGCAAUGAAAAAUCUUCACAGCAGCAUAGAAGACCCAUAUAAGACCCAUAUACUUUGCCAAUGCAAUGAAAAAUCUUCACAGCAGCAUAGAAGACCCAUAUAAGACCCAUAUACUUUGCCAAUGCAAUGAAAAAUCUUCACAGCAGCAUAGAAGACCCAUAUAAGACCCAUAUACUUUGCCAAUGCAAUGAAAAAUCCUCACAGCAGCGACCCAACAUAUUUAAAGAUAUACUACAUUGAUAUAGGCAGUAAAAGUGUACCUCUGUGUGUGUAAUCCAGAACUCAGAGUCGGCAUCAAUGGUUCCAUCUGGUUUCCUCCCCAUCCGUAGAGCCCAAGCCCCAGGAACCCCUCCGACGCCGGCGCUUGCGAGUUGAGGUCAAGACCGACAUGGGGAGCGGGGCCGCUUGCCGACGGCUGCGAACCCCACACAUCGAAGCCGUCUCCGUCCAUCGCUGGUGCUAUGCUCCAAGCUAUACUACCUGUACCAGAAGAGAAGAAUCAGUAGCACAUCCAGGAAGUGUUACAAGCAAGCCGAACUCAACACCGCACAUGCAGUCGUGCUCUUCUCCGGAAUAAGUAAUCUUGUCCAUGUUAACUUAUGAGAUACAUUUCUAACUUUGAUUAUUUAUAACAGCUAGUGUAACAAAAAUGAAAUUGUACCAAAAUAUUUUGUGUAAGUUCCUGAACAUCUGCAGCUCUUUAUAAGUAUUCAUAGAUCAGCUCUUUAUAAGUAUUGAGUUGUUUCUCAAUAUAGAUCCUGAACAUCUGCAGCUCUUUAUAAGUAUUUAUAGAUCAGCUUUUUAUAAGUAUUUACAUAUCACAGCUCUUUGUUUCUUAAUGCUCAAAUCACAGCUAGUGCAUAUCAAAUUAUUUAUAGAUCAGCUCUUUGUUUCUUCAUGCUCUAAAUUUGCACAAACAUCUGCAACGAGAGGGGGCUGAACAUCUGCAGCUAACUAGCUAACUAAACAGAAGAAUCCAGCCACGCCGUUGCUCACGCUAACUAAUCUAGCUAUGGACUACUCUUGCUGACUUGAUGCACAGACGGACGCGUACGAGGAGGGAGAGCACGAGUACAGAAGGAACGGACGGACUCACCUCUCGCUGGAUCGAUCCUUGACAGAUGCGUCGCCUCCGCGCACGAGAGAGAGAGAGGGAAACGACCGGGAGCGGCGCGAGCUUCGGACGGGGGAGGACGAGCGGCGACCGGAGGAGGACGAGCGGCGACCGGAGGAGGAC
Molecule: long non-coding RNA, 36076 nt
Filed under: Triticum aestivum (bread wheat)
Lineage: Eukaryota; Viridiplantae; Streptophyta; Magnoliopsida; Poales; Poaceae
Description: long non-coding RNA (TAES_LNC012443)
Source: RNAcentral